GAUGAACGCUGGCGGCGUGCCUAAUACAUGCAAGUCGAGCGAACAGAUGAGGAGCUUGCUCCUCUGACGUUAGCGGCGGACGGGUGAGUAACACGUGGAUAACCUACCUAUAAGACUGGUAUAACUUCGUGAAACCGGCGCUAAUACCGGAUAAUAUAUUGAACCGCAUGGUUCAAUAGUGAAAGACGGUUUUGCUGUCUCUUAUAGAUGGUUCCGCGCCUCAUUAGCUAGUUGGUAAGGUAACGGCUUACCAAGGCAACGAUUCGUAGCCGACCUGAGAGGGGGAACGGCAAAAGUGGAAGUGAGAAACGGACAAGAGACGAACGGGAGGCAGAAGUAGGGAAGAUACAGAAAGGGGCGAAAGAAUGAAGGAGAAAAGGAGCGGGAGUGAGGAAGGUCUGCGGAUCGUAAAACGCUGUUAUAAGGGAAGAACAAAUGUGUAAGUAACGAUGAACGUAUGGACGGAACCUAAGCAGAAAGCCACGGCUAACUAGGU
This 496-nucleotide ribosomal RNA is filed under the name uncultured bacterium. Its description in RNAcentral is "partial 16S ribosomal RNA". It matches the Rfam family "Bacterial small subunit ribosomal RNA", at positions 28 to 506 of the family's 1533-position model. The record is from RNAcentral.